ACAAAAAUGGGUGAUGGAGCUCACCCAAACUGCCCUCACCAAGGGAUAAUGGCUCCUGCGAAUCG
This 65-nucleotide non-coding RNA is filed under the name Ferroacidibacillus organovorans. RNAcentral describes it as "Acidibacillus ferrooxidans Fluoride sequence". It matches the Rfam family "Fluoride riboswitch aptamer (crcB RNA motif)". The record is from RNAcentral. Lineage: Bacteria; Bacillati; Bacillota; Bacilli; Caryophanales; Alicyclobacillaceae.